This 3203-nucleotide long non-coding RNA is filed under the name Vigna radiata. Its description in RNAcentral is "long non-coding RNA (VRAD_LNC009410)". The stretch from base 2831 to 3025 matches the Rfam family "U2 spliceosomal RNA". Lineage: Eukaryota; Viridiplantae; Streptophyta; Magnoliopsida; Fabales; Fabaceae. The record is from RNAcentral.
GAACUCAUACCUUUCUCGGCCUUUUGGCUAAGAUCAAGUGUAGUAUCUGUUCUUAUCAGUUUAAUAUCUGAUAUGUGGGCCAAUGGUCCACACGAUAUUAAAUUAAUCUUUUAAAGGGGAAGGGCCACUACGGUAGCUUGCUGCUGGGUCCUUCAAGUGUCGCCCUUGUGUUGCACUAUUGCAUGGGCUGGCACACCUUCUAAUCUAGUUCUAUGUUUAUUCCUGGGCAGACACUCUUUAAUCUAUAUGUAUAUUUCUUGAUUGUUUUUAUGGUAUGUUAAUUUUUUAUUGUAAAAUCCUAAUUGUAGGAGCUACCACCUCUUUCUCUUUUUAAGUGUAAUAACAGUGCAUUAUAAUCAUACAUCAAAUAAAAGAAAUCCAAAAUUAUUAGUGUUAGAAUUAUACAUUUUCAUAAAUUAUUCAUGCAUUUAUCUCUAUUGAAGAAUAAAAUAAUUUUAUACUAGCAUUUGCCCAGUUAUCUAGAAAAGUAUUUGUAAUUAGUAUGUUUUGUUAUUAGGUGAGGUAAUUAAAAAUUGUGUUGGUAGUUAAUCACUCCUCUCUUAAAAUUGAAAGAUACUAUUAUUAAUAUCUAAGUUACCGAAGUCUUUAGUCCCUCAAAAACAGUGUAUGUAUUGAGACAUGAGUUAAUGGCUGAACCAUGGAAUGUUAAUUAUUUUGAUUAUUCUUAUCUAUUAACACCCUAUAUAUAUAUAUAUAUAUAUAUAUAUAUAUAUAUAUAUAUAUAUAUAUAUAUAUAUAUAUAUAUUGAAGUUCAUUGUAGGGGAAGGACAGAAAAAGAGCUUUUUUGUUUAAUUUAGACUGGUAAUUGUGAUCUCACAGUUUUAUCUCAACAAAUAACUUGAAUAAUUGUCUCUUGUUGCUUGCUUGUGAAGAUUUUAUCUUGUGUUUUUUUACUCUUAAUAGCAUUCAAACGUUUCCAUUAAUUUAUUGGCAGAUGGCUGAUGACCAUCCUUAUACUAUUCCUGAGAUGGAUCCUACUCUUCGGAAACAAAUUCAGGAGUGUAAUUGGCAGAUUGUGAAUGUUACAACUCCUGCAAAUUUUUUCCAUGUUUUACGCCGGCAGGUUUGUAGUCCACACCAUCAUUCAAUUGGUGUUAGUUUGGUCACUUGAUUUUUGGUACUUAUUUUCUCACUGUUGCAUUGUUUUCUUCCAGAUACACAGGGAAUUCCGUAAACCUCUUAUAGUAAUGUCCCCUAAGAACCUGCUUCGUAGUAAGGUUUGCAGAUCAAACUUAUCUGAGUUUGAUGAUGUUCAAGGACAUCCCGGUUUUGACAAACAGGGAACCAGAUUUAAGCGCCUCAUAAAAGACCAAAAUAAUCACUCAGACGUUGAAGGGGGUAUAAGACGUUUAGUACUUUGCUCUGGAAAGGUGUGUGAUCCUGAUUGGAACUACUGAAUUUUAUGUUAUCUGUGUUUGUAAAUUUUAUGUACUGCUUCGAUCGGUAUAAACUUUUUACAUCGAUUUCUUGUAUUCCUUGCAGGUUUACUAUGAACUUGACGAACAGCGAACAAAGGAAGAUGCAAAGGAUGUUGCAAUAUGUAGGGUGGAACAGCUUUGUCCUUUCCCUUAUGAUCUUGUGCAACGAGAGCUUAAACGAUAUCCAAGUACGUCUUUUCAACGUUGAAGCUUUGGAGUCUGUUGCUGUUAUUAGUUAUUUUACAUUAUACUUUGUUGUGUUUUUGGCAGAUGCGGAGGUUGUCUGGUGUCAAGAAGAGCCAAUGAACAUGGGUGGAUACACAUAUGUUUUACCCCGGCUCGUAACUUCCAUGAAGGCUGUAGGUAGAGGAGGCUAUGAAGAUGUUAAAUAUGUUGGUCGUGCUCCUUCUGCAGCAACAGCUACUGGUUUCCUCAAGGUUCACCAUAAGGAGCAGGCUGAGCUAGUUCAGAAAGCCAUUCAACGAGAACCAAUCAAUUUCCCUUACUGAGGCACAGCAUCUUCAUGCUUUCUGCAGAGUGAAGAAGGCAAUAAUUGGAGGGCAGCUUGGAAAAUUAUUAAUAUUUGUUUUCUUUUUGUCUUUAUGUAGAGGUAGUUUUUCUUUGGUACCAAGUGGUAAACUUGGUCAAUUGUUCUCCAACAGGUAAAAUUUUUCUUAUUGUGAUUAUUAUUAUUAUUACUGACUAGUUUCGAUGUAUAACUACUGUAGUCUAGGUUUCAGAAAUUGGAUUCGCUUUGAGACAGUUUAGACUUAGUUGUAUCUCGUAUGUAUGUACUGUUUGUUCAGUGUAUUUUGCUAAAAAAUAAAGGGAAAAGAAAUCAGGAAUUUAAGUCUGUAUUUUUCCAUCGUUUUUACACGAGACAAGAGUUGUGGACACUGAAGAACAAUCAAUUAGUGGACUCAACCAUGGCUAUGAAUAAGACUUCCUAGAAAGCAAUUUGCACCUGUGAGAAUCAUGCAAACAUGUUUGAUGCUGCGAAGAAACUCUUAUCCCUGUUUCUGCCCAUAUCAUCCAAGGUUUGCAGCAAUGGCUAGCUGUAUCAUUUUGGAAUCAUGUUGCUGCAGCCAAGCUUUUUUAUCCAAGUUGUAAGAAUUUUCAGCUCAAACAGCAAUUUUCUGCCCCUAAGCUUAGGAAAUAGGUAAAAAUAAUUUGUACCACAGCUGAUGAACCUGGUCAAUUUUCUUAUUCAGCUUUUAGACCAUUUAAUUUCAAGUGCUUUUUGUUGUUUUGUGGACAGUCAAACAGGUGAUCGGGAAUAUACUCAGCGACAACCUUUAUUAUGAGUCACUCCUAAGUCCCACACAGAUUAUAGUAGUUAACAGAAACCUGAUAAUAUACAAUAAAACGAACCUCCUAAUACAUCGCAACUCAUACCUUUCUCGGCCUUUUGGCUAAGAUCAAGUGUAGUAUCUGUUCUUAUCAGUUUAAUAUCUGAUAUGUGGACCAAUGGUCCACACGAUAUUAAAUUAAUUUUUUAAAGGGGAAGGGCCAUAACGGUAGCUUGCUACUGGGUCCUUCAAGUGUCGCCCUUGUGUUGCACUAUAGCAUGGGCUGGCACACCCUCUAAUAUAGUUCUAUAUUUUCUUUUUUAAGUAGCUGUGCUUUGUAGAAUAUCUAUGUUAGUUAUAUAUUUAGGGUUUUUCUGAUUGAUGUGAAUGUUAUCAAGUUUAAAUUAUAUUAUUGUACAAUGGUUGAUAUUUAAUUAUUGUACAAAAGUUGACAAAAAAAAAAAUAACUUAUUUC